This 1166-nucleotide ribosomal RNA is filed under the name Vibrio parahaemolyticus. RNAcentral describes it as "bacterial SSU rRNA". It matches the Rfam family "Bacterial small subunit ribosomal RNA", at positions 107 to 1269 of the family's 1533-position model. The record is from RNAcentral. Lineage: Bacteria; Pseudomonadati; Pseudomonadota; Gammaproteobacteria; Vibrionales; Vibrionaceae.
UGAGUAAUGCCUAGGAAAUUGCCCUGAUGUGGGGGAUAACCAUUGGAAACGAUGGCUAAUACCGCAUGAUGCCUACGGGCCAAAGAGGGGGACCUUCGGGCCUCUCGCGUCAGGAUAUGCCUAGGUGGGAUUAGCUAGUUGGUGAGGUAAGGGCUCACCAAGGCGACGAUCCCUAGCUGGUCUGAGAGGAUGAUCAGCCACACUGGAACUGAGACACGGUCCAGACUCCUACGGGAGGCAGCAGUGGGGAAUAUUGCACAAUGGGCGCAAGCCUGAUGCAGCCAUGCCGCGUGUGUGAAGAAGGCCUUCGGGUUGUAAAGCACUUUCAGUCGUGAGGAAGGUAGUGUAGUUAAUAGCUGCAUUAUUUGACGUUAGCGACAGAAGAAGCACCGGCUAACUCCGUGCCAGCAGCCGCGGUAAUACGGAGGGUGCGAGCGUUAAUCGGAAUUACUGGGCGUAAAGCGCAUGCAGGUGGUUUGUUAAGUCAGAUGUGAAAGCCCGGGGCUCAACCUCGGAAUUGCAUUUGAAACUGGCAGACUAGAGUACUGUAGAGGGGGGUAGAAUUUCAGGUGUAGCGGUGAAAUGCGUAGAGAUCUGAAGGAAUACCGGUGGCGAAGGCGGCCCCCUGGACAGAUACUGACACUCAGAUGCGAAAGCGUGGGGAGCAAACAGGAUUAGAUACCCUGGUAGUCCACGCCGUAAACGAUGUCUACUUGGAGGUUGUGGCCUUGAGCCGUGGCUUUCGGAGCUAACGCGUUAAGUAGACCGCCUGGGGAGUACGGUCGCAAGAUUAAAACUCAAAUGAAUUGACGGGGGCCCGCACAAGCGGUGGAGCAUGUGGUUUAAUUCGAUGCAACGCGAAGAACCUUACCUACUCUUGACAUCCAGAGAACUUUCCAGAGAUGGAUUGGUGCCUUCGGGAACUCUGAGACAGGUGCUGCAUGGCUGUCGUCAGCUCGUGUUGUGAAAUGUUGGGUUAAGUCCCGCAACGAGCGCAACCCUUAUCCUUGUUUGCCAGCGAGUAAUGUCGGGAACUCCAGGGAGACUGCCGGUGAUAAACCGGAGGAAGGUGGGGACGACGUCAAGUCAUCAUGGCCCUUACGAGUAGGGCUACACACGUGCUACAAUGGCGCAUACAGAGGGCGGCCAACUUGCGAAAGUGAGCG